RNAcentral lists this long non-coding RNA (455 nucleotides) under Hordeum vulgare. Its description in RNAcentral is "long non-coding RNA (HVUL_LNC018575)". The record is from RNAcentral. Lineage: Eukaryota; Viridiplantae; Streptophyta; Magnoliopsida; Poales; Poaceae.
GGGUCAGGACUGGAAGGUCACGGUCACAAGCUAUAUCGCGGCUUAUCCUGUGUGGAAGAUGCAUCUCCACAAAAUCCCCAAGAUGAAAGGACACUAGAAGUGGUAGCUUUAAAAGCGUUUAAUUUAGCAUCCAUAAUUUAUUCACUCUGUACCUUGUAGGCUGUAGGCCUGUAGCUGUGUCAWUUUUUAGGUUUUCUCUAAUCUGUAUAUUGUUUGUCAUGUAAAAGAAAGAUAGAAAUGGCCUAGCAAAUUCUUUUCUGUCAAAUAUGCGUUGUAAUUCUUUUUGAAAGCCAACAGAGUCUGUACCAGAGGCUUCACUAAUAAAUGGUUUCUAGUCAGCAUAUACUGUGAAACAAGUACUUCCUUCGUCACGGUUUAGAAGACAUGCUUGGAAAUUCUCUGGAACCCAGGUGAUUUUUGAUUGGUUGUGAAAUGGUCUGAAAAAUAACAUUCAC